UAUUGGAGGAUCUGAUAAAAAGGAGCCUAAGCGUUGGCUGAUUUGAAAAAGGUUGGAUAAAGAGAAAGGAUUGUGCUCCCUAACUAUGCCUUCAGCUCCAGCCACCUCUCUAAAGGGGAAUUGUUGGGCAGGAGCAGAGGGGUUAGCCACAGGACUAAACUGUAAGCCGGGCCAGGUAUGAGAUGGGGAGAUUACAGGAGGGGCAUAAGGAGGUGGGUUGUGGGCAGAGAAAGAGUAGGGAGGCUCUGGGGGUGGGGGUUUGGGCCUGGAUUGGGGCCUGGUUCAGACAGACAGGGAGGAGAAAGGUUUGAAGGGUCGAUGGACAAAAAGGAUUCUGUGUUACUGACGGAAGCCAGAGAG
This is a long non-coding RNA of Sapajus apella (tufted capuchin), 360 nucleotides long. RefSeq lists it as uncharacterized. Lineage: Eukaryota; Metazoa; Chordata; Mammalia; Primates; Cebidae. The record is from RefSeq and is a predicted model, not a curated record. The transcript is spliced from 3 exons.